UAAUUGAAGAGUUUGAUCAUGGCUCAGAUUGAACGCUGGCGGCAGGCCUAACACAUGCAAGUCGAGCGGGGUUUUCGGA
RNAcentral lists this ribosomal RNA (79 nucleotides) under Rheinheimera pacifica. RNAcentral's name for it is "partial 16S ribosomal RNA". It matches the Rfam family "Bacterial small subunit ribosomal RNA", at positions 1 to 79 of the family's 1533-position model. Lineage: Bacteria; Pseudomonadati; Pseudomonadota; Gammaproteobacteria; Chromatiales; Chromatiaceae. RNAcentral also lists the same sequence under 1 other name. The record is from RNAcentral.